GCCUCUGUGGCGGAAUGGUAGACGCGGCAGACUCAAAAUCUGUUGUCCGCAAGGACGUGGGGGUUCGAGUCCCUCCAGGGGCACCA
This 86-nucleotide transfer RNA is filed under the name Hyphomicrobiales bacterium. RNAcentral's name for it is "tRNA-Leu". It matches the Rfam family "tRNA". From Rfam's summary of the family: Transfer RNA (tRNA) molecules are approximately 80 nucleotides in length. Their secondary structure includes four short double-helical elements and three loops (D, anti-codon, and T loops). Further hydrogen bonds mediate the characteristic L-shaped molecular structure. tRNAs have two regions of fundamental functional importance: the anti-codon, which is responsible for specific mRNA codon recognition, and the 3' end, to which the tRNAs corresponding amino acid is attached (by aminoacyl-tRNA synthetases). tRNAs cope with the degeneracy of the genetic code in two manners: having more than one tRNA (with a specific anti-codon) for a particular amino acid; and 'wobble' base-pairing, i.e. permitting non-standard base-pairing at the 3rd anti-codon position. Lineage: Bacteria; Pseudomonadati; Pseudomonadota; Alphaproteobacteria; Hyphomicrobiales. The record is from RNAcentral.